GAUCCGCCCUUCGGGGUGGUGAAAGUGGCGCACGGGUGAGUAACGCGUGGAUAAUCUGCCCGAGGAUUUGGGAUAACAUCUCGAAAGGGGUGCUAAUACCGAAUAAGCCCACGGGGUCUACGGAUCUUGCGGGAAAAGGGGGGGACCUUCGGGCCUCCUGUCCUUGGAUGAGUCUGCGUACCAUUAGCUAGUUGGUGGGGUAAUGGCCUACCAAGGCGACGAUGGUUAGCUGGUCUGAGAGGAUGAUCAGCCACACUGGAACUGAGACACGGUCCAGACUCCUACGGGAGGCAGCAGUGGGGAAUUUUGCGCAAUGGGGGAAACCCUGACGCAGCAACGCCGCGUGGGUGAUGAAGGCCUUCGGGUCGUAAAGCUCUGUCUGGAGGGAAGAAAUGAUUGGGAGCUAAUACCUCUUGAUCUUGACGGUACCUCUGAAGGAAGCACCGGCUAACUCCGUGCCAGCAGCCGCGGUAAUACGGAGGGUGCAAGCGUUGUUCGGAAUUAUUG
This 507-nucleotide ribosomal RNA is filed under the name uncultured Geobacter sp. Its description in RNAcentral is "bacterial SSU rRNA". It matches the Rfam family "Bacterial small subunit ribosomal RNA", at positions 70 to 556 of the family's 1533-position model. The record is from RNAcentral. Lineage: Bacteria; Pseudomonadati; Thermodesulfobacteriota; Desulfuromonadia; Geobacterales; Geobacteraceae.